This is a long non-coding RNA of Galeopterus variegatus (Sunda flying lemur), 424 nucleotides long. RefSeq lists it as uncharacterized. Lineage: Eukaryota; Metazoa; Chordata; Mammalia; Dermoptera; Cynocephalidae. The record is from RefSeq and is a predicted model, not a curated record. The transcript is spliced from 2 exons.
CAGCCAUUUGGACCAUGAGGGAACUUUAGAAAUGGAAGGCACACUCUGAAGAUGACAAACAGAAAGAUCGAGAAAGGCUGGGUUCCUCAAUCACGUUGGAGUGCUUUACCAGCACUUCUUUUAGUUGUACAGGAAAGAAAACACUGAAUUGUGAUGGCUGGAACCGAUGAGAGAAGUCACACUCAUCAGAAAAUGUGCAUGCAGCACCUUCCCGGGUGGCAGCCUUAUGUGGUGGCACUGAUGAAUCUUUGGGGACAGGCAACCUGGGAUAGGUUUCCAGGUCCACUUUGCUAUUGAGGCUACUUGCAAGUUACCUAAAUUCUCUGAGCCUCAAUUUCCUUAAUUAUAAAUGGAAAGAAUAACAUGUGAAGUCUUGUCAUGAAGAUUCUACGAGGUAAUAAUAAAACCUAAUGUUUACUGAGUA